AGGUGUAUAGUUUAGUGGUAGAGCAUUCGACUGCAGAUCGGAAGGUCCCCGGUUCAAACCCGGGUGCCCCCA
This 72-nucleotide transfer RNA is filed under the name Trichonephila inaurata madagascariensis. It matches the Rfam family "tRNA". From Rfam's summary of the family: Transfer RNA (tRNA) molecules are approximately 80 nucleotides in length. Their secondary structure includes four short double-helical elements and three loops (D, anti-codon, and T loops). Further hydrogen bonds mediate the characteristic L-shaped molecular structure. tRNAs have two regions of fundamental functional importance: the anti-codon, which is responsible for specific mRNA codon recognition, and the 3' end, to which the tRNAs corresponding amino acid is attached (by aminoacyl-tRNA synthetases). tRNAs cope with the degeneracy of the genetic code in two manners: having more than one tRNA (with a specific anti-codon) for a particular amino acid; and 'wobble' base-pairing, i.e. permitting non-standard base-pairing at the 3rd anti-codon position. The record is from Rfam by way of RNAcentral. Lineage: Eukaryota; Metazoa; Arthropoda; Arachnida; Araneae; Nephilidae.